This 253-nucleotide ribosomal RNA is filed under the name uncultured bacterium. Its description in RNAcentral is "partial 16S ribosomal RNA". It matches the Rfam family "Bacterial small subunit ribosomal RNA", at positions 524 to 776 of the family's 1533-position model. The record is from RNAcentral.
UACGUAGGGGGCAAGCGUUAUCCGGAUUUACUGGGUGUAAAGGGGGCGCAGACGGCAGCGCAAGCCAGGAGUGAAAGCCCGGGGCCCAACCCCGGGACUGCUCUUGGAACUGCGCGGCUGGAGUGCAGGAGGGGCAGGCGGAAUUCCUGGUGUAGCGGUGAAAUGCGUAGAUAUCAGGAGGAACACCGGUGGCGAAGGUGGCCUGCUGGACUGCGACUGACGUUGAGGCCCGAAAGCGUGGGGAGCAAACAGG